CCGCCCAGUGAGAGUUUGAUCCUGCUCAAGAGUGAACGCUGGCGGUAGCCCUAACACAUGCAAGUCGAACGGCAGCACAGGAGAGCUUGCUCUCUGGGUGGCGAGUGGCGGACGGGUGAGGAAUACAUCGGAAUCUACUCUGUCGUGGGGGAUAACGUAGGGAAACUUACGCUAAUACCGCAUACGACCUACGGGUGAAAGCAGGGGAUCUUCGGACCUUGCGCGAUUGAAUGAGCCGAUGUCGGAUUAGCUAGUUGGCGGGGUAAAGGCCCACCAAGGCGACGAUCCGUAGCUGGUCUGAGAGGAUGAUCAGCCACACUGGAACUGAGACACGGUCCAGACUCCUACGGGAGGCAGCAGUGGGGAAUAUUGGACAAUGGGCGCAAGCCUGAUCCAGCCAUACCGCGUGGGUGAAGAAGGCCUUCGGGUUGUAAAGCCCUUUUGUUGGGAAAGAAAUCCAGCUGGCUAAUACCCGGUUGGGAUGACGGUACCCAAAGAAUAAGCACCGGCUAACUUCGUGCCAGCAGCCGCGGUAAUACGAAGGGUGCAAGCGUUACUCGGAAUUACUGGGCGUAAAGCGUGCGUAGGUGGUCGUUUAAGUCCGUUGUGAAAGCCCUGGGCUCACCUGGGAACUGCAGUGGAUACUGGGCGACUAGAGUGUGGUAGAGGGUAGCGGAAUUCCUGGUGUACCAGUGAAAUGCGUAGAGAUCAGGAGGAACAUCCAUGGC
RNAcentral lists this ribosomal RNA (728 nucleotides) under Stenotrophomonas sp. NOE2. RNAcentral describes it as "bacterial SSU rRNA". It matches the Rfam family "Bacterial small subunit ribosomal RNA", at positions 1 to 716 of the family's 1533-position model. The record is from RNAcentral. Lineage: Bacteria; Pseudomonadati; Pseudomonadota; Gammaproteobacteria; Lysobacterales; Lysobacteraceae.